CAGCUGCUGGCCCUGGGCUGCUGCCUCAACAGCUCCCUCCUCUGCACAUUGGUCACUAGGGACCUUCCCCACAGCACUGUCCUUUACUCACAAGGCCAAGGUGCUGCACUUCCUGCUCAGAAUUGCCAUGUCCUAGUUUAUUUCAUUCACCCAAAGUGAGGGGUGAAGCUGUGUAUCCGAGGGGUGGUCUUUCCGAGGUCACUCAACGCAUUAGAGGGGCCUUGAAGGCUGGUGUGGUCGGCCCUCCUCAGCAGCUGGGUUCCCCACGACCCCUGAUAUGUAGAUGGGAGUUCCACCCACCUCCCCAGGAUAGUAUGUCCUGGAAUGCCUUUUGCAUUAUGGCCAGGUGGGUGGACAGAGGACAAGGCCACUGUCACAUUUCAGCACAUCCUGGUCUGAGAAGAGUGUGUGGCCACAGCAGGGACACUGAGGUCAGGAAGAGUAAACAUGCACGUGGCUCCCCCAGUGUCCUGCCCCAGAGUGUCCCUACUUCCCUGCCCCCAGGGCCUGGACCCUUCCACGCAGUCAAACCCUCCUGCUCUAAUUCUUCCUCAUCCCUCAGUCCGUUUCCUGGGUCCCUCGGCCAAUGUUCUCCUGGGUCUGCAUCUGGAAGGGACGUUCACCUCUGGCCCAGGGCAGAAGGGGCUUCUUAAGGCUUUUCCUCUGCUCCCCUCUCCUGGGCCCCUGUGUAUACAGACCUGAUGGAGUAAGAAAGGUUUCACACCCUCCUUGGAGAUGGGGUACCCUCCUCAUCUCCUAUCUGACCCCCGAUCAUGACCUCUCCCUGCACGCUCAUGAUUAAGCCUGACCUUUCCUGGGGUUGGUGUCCAGCAUGGCCUCAGAGACCACCGCACCCCAGCAUCAAGACCUGGGGACCCCUGAGGCCAGAAGCUACAGAGGGGGUGCUCAAAUCUUCUAUCAGUCAUCCUGAGUUAAUGAUGGGGGACAACCUGUGGACAGAAACUGGGCUGUCUGUCCAGAAGCGGAGGCUGGUGCUCAGGACUUGGAGCUGGUAACUUCUGAGAGUGAAGAUCCAAAGCAGACACAGGGAGUAAGCUCUGGCCUGUCAGAGACCAGAACCUUCAAGCUCCACCAUCUCCUGCUCCCUGGAGUCUCAGCCUUGAUGACCCUCCCUUGGUGACACUGAUGUCCACUCUCCUUCCCCUGCCCAGGCCCCUGUCCCUGGCCACAUAGUUGCUGUUCCCAUUUACCAGGAAUUACUAAACCCUGAGCUGGACAUCUACUGCCGGGUCAACCACAAGGCUGAUGUGGCUUCUUAGUUCCCACCAGACAAGGCUCCAGAUGGAUUGCAGAGGGUCCUGGUAGGACCACAGACUUUGGGUGAUGGGGCAGAAGUGCAACCAGAGCCCUGGGAGACUCUGGCACCUUGAAGUGCUAUAGGGUCCCUGGGUUCCUGGAGACCCAGACAGGCUGCCCUGGGCUCUGAAUGGCCAGAACCAGGCUGCCUGUGCCCAGGAGGAGGGGCUCCAGGGAGAGGGAAGGGCCCUGUGGGUCACCUGGGAAGGCGCUGAAUAAAGACCCCCUUCCCUCCUUC
Molecule: non-coding RNA, 1555 nt
Organism: Marmota flaviventris (yellow-bellied marmot)
Lineage: Eukaryota; Metazoa; Chordata; Mammalia; Rodentia; Sciuridae
Source: RefSeq, a predicted model, not a curated record